ACAUCGUUUACAUCCAUACAACCUUUGUAAGCAUUUGCACCUCUCACUGGUGUGCGGAGCAAACAGUUCACCUUCCUCUGCUGAAGUGCUCUGCUCCUACUCUCACCCCUCUUUCUCAAGUGGCCUCAUGAGCUUACAGACAAGAUUGCCCACGACCCCCAGAUUCUGCAACAACAAAAUGGACUGGGAGCUCCUUGAGGCUGUGGCUGUGGUCUUUAGCCGGGAAGAGUGGGCAUUGCUGGAUCCUGCUCAGCAGAAACUCUACAGAGAUGUGAUGGAGGAAACUCUGGGAAACCUGGCCUCCGUAGUGAAUUACUCAGUUUUUCCAAACCUUAAUGGAGGGAAAAUAUUAUCUACUGAACAUAUAUUGCUACAGUUUAUGAAGAAUGACAUCUGGUCUUCCAUUUUAGUUGAAUCCUCCGAAUCUCACAUCAGUAAAGAUCCGCAUGUAAAGCAGGGGCUAAAUUUGAGUGCUCUGAAUGGUCAGAAACACUGUGAAAGUAACGAAGGCAGUCAGUGUGGAAAUUCCUCCAACCAGACACGAAGUUUUCCUGAAGGAGAUCCAUUUCAAUGGUGUGAGUGUGGGAGAGUCUUCGUGGAUCACGCAUCAUAUGAUCAUCAUAUCAGGUCUCACACAGGAUGCAACAGCUGUGAUGGCAAGAAAUGUGAAGAAGCUUGUGACUCUAACCUGACCUCUCCUCUGAAAACUAUUUCAGGACAGAAAACCUGUAGUAAAAAGGUACCAGGCAAGAAUUUCAAUUUAGCAACCCUUAAGAAUCCUCUGAGAGCAUACGCCGUUGAGAAAUUCUAUCAAUUUUCUAAAUCUGAGAAUGAUUUCUGUGGUUUCUCAACCUUUUGGGAUCCUGUGAGCAG
Long non-coding RNA from Echinops telfairi (small Madagascar hedgehog), 873 nucleotides. RefSeq lists it as uncharacterized. The record is from RefSeq and is a predicted model, not a curated record. Lineage: Eukaryota; Metazoa; Chordata; Mammalia; Afrosoricida; Tenrecidae. The transcript has 4 exons.